GGAUAAAUUUACGGAGCGUGAAAUGGAAGGACUAGGAUCAAGCUGUGACAACUUCUAGGGCGACGACUCGCGAAAGGGCUAAACACGCGACUGGAAUGGGACAGUGCUGGGUAAAGCUCGGCGCUUCAGGUGGUAAGAUUUGGGUUGCUUUACGGUCAACCGCAAACCUGAUUUGGAAUCUCAAACACUCUGGCUUCUCCCACAGACCUUGCAGUGGCCAGCGUAACGGAAUCGUACCGAGAGGUAGUGCUGCUGUGUACUGUGCGUGAUUUGGGGCCUCCGGACGACAGUUAACAGUUCCGGCACGCAGGGGACAUCUUAUCGCUUGCGCCACAGCGACGGCCCCCUCAGCAACGAGGAGAAGGCCAUAGAAGAAAUACUUGGUCCACUUUUUCGUUUGGCCCUCGAGGCGCGGUUUGGACGACAGUUGUGCCUACAUGUGUUCACAUCUCUAACACGAGUAGCGCGACUAUGCCUGGAGGAGCAUCC
This 489-nucleotide long non-coding RNA is filed under the name Volvox carteri. RNAcentral's name for it is "long non-coding RNA (VCAR_LNC001553)". The record is from RNAcentral. Lineage: Eukaryota; Viridiplantae; Chlorophyta; Chlorophyceae; Chlamydomonadales; Volvocaceae.